GCGAAACUGGCGAAUGGGCUCAUUAUAUAAGUUAUCGUUUAUUUGAUAGCACCUUACUACUUGGAUAACCGUGGUAAUUCUAGAGCUAAUACAUGCUAAAAAUCCCGACUUCGGAAGGGAUGUAUUUAUUAGAUUAAAAACCAAUGCCCUCUGGGCUCUCUGGUGAUUCAUGAUAACUUCUCGAAUCGCAUGGCCUUGCGCCGGCGAUGGUUCAUUCAAAUUUCUUCCCUAUCAACUUUCGAUGUUUGGGUAGUGGCCAAACAUGGUUGCAACGGGUAACGGAGGGUUAGGGCUCGACCCCGGAGAAGGAGCCUGAGAAACGGCUACUACAUCCAAGGAAGGCAGCAGGCGCGCAAAUUACCCAAUCCCGACACGGGGAGGUAGUGACAAUAAAUACUGAUACAGGGCUCUUUUGGGUCUUGUAAUUGGAAUGAGUACAAUUUAAAUCCCUUAACGAGGAACAAUUGGAGGGCAAGUCUGGUGCCAGCAGCCGCGGUAAUUCCAGCUCCAAUAGCGUAUAUUAAAGUUGUUGUGGUUAAAAAGCUCGUAGUUGAACCUUGGGCCUGGCUGGCCGGUCCGCCUCACCGCGUGCACUGGUCCGGCCGGGCCUUUCCCUCUGUGGAACCCCAUGCCCUUCACUGGGUGUGGCGGGGAAACAGGACUUUUACUUUGAAAAAAUUAGAGUGCUCCAGGCAGGCCUAUGCUCGAAUACAUUAGCAUGGAAUAAUGAAAUAGGACGUGCGGUUCUAUUUUGUUGGUUUCUAGGACCGCCGUAAUGAUUAAUAGGGACAGUCGGGGGCAUCAGUAUUCAAUUGUCAGAGGUGAAAUUCUUGGAUUUAUUGAAGACUAACUACUGCGAAAGCAUUUGCCAAGGAUGUUUUCAUUAAUCAGGAACGAAAGUUAGGGGAUCGAAGACGAUCAGAUACCGUCGUAGUCUUAACCAUAAACUAUGCCGACUAGGGAUCGGACGAUGUUAUUUUUUGACUCGUUCGGCACCUUACGAGAAAUCAAAGUGCUUGGGCUCCGGGGGAAUAUGGUCCCAAG
Molecule: ribosomal RNA, 1044 nt
Filed under: Purpureocillium lilacinum
Lineage: Eukaryota; Fungi; Ascomycota; Sordariomycetes; Hypocreales; Ophiocordycipitaceae
Description: SSU rRNA
Rfam family: Eukaryotic small subunit ribosomal RNA
Source: RNAcentral